RNAcentral lists this ribosomal RNA (505 nucleotides) under uncultured bacterium. RNAcentral's name for it is "partial 16S ribosomal RNA". It matches the Rfam family "Bacterial small subunit ribosomal RNA", at positions 29 to 522 of the family's 1533-position model. The record is from RNAcentral.
AGUGAACGCUAGCGGUAGGCCUAACACAUGCAAGUCGAACGGCAGCACAGGAGAGCUUGCUCUCUGGGUGGCGAGUGGCGGACGGGUGAGGAAUACAUCGGAAUCUACUCUGUCGUGGGGGGUAACGUAGGGAAACUUAGGCUAAUACCGCAUACGACCGACGGGUGAAAGCAGGGGACUGUCGGACCUGCCGCGGUUGAAUGCGCCGAUGUCGGAAUAGCUAGUUGGGGGGGUAAAGGCCCAACAAGGCGACGAUCCGUAGCUGGUAUGAGAGGAUGAUCAGCCACACUGGAACUGAGACACGGUCCAGACUCCUACGGGAGGCAGCAGUGGGGAAUAUUGGACAAUGGGCGCAAGCCUGAUCCAGACAUACCGCGUGGGUGAAGAAGGCCUUCGGGUUGUAAAGCCCUUUUGUUGGGAAAGAAAUCCAGCUGGCUAAUACCCGGUUGGGAUGACGGUACCCAAAGAAUAAGCACCGGCUAACUUCGUGCCAGCCGCCGCAGUA